CGCCUGCCAGCCCGCUCAGAAACUUAAAGGAAUUGACGGGGCCCGCACAAGCGUGGAGCAUGUGGUUAAUUCGAAGCAACGCGAAGAACCUUACCAGGCCUUGACAUGCAGAGAACUUUCCAGAGAUGGAUUGGUGCCUUCGGGAACUCUGACACAGGUGCUGCAUGGCUGUCGUCAGCUCGUGUCGUGAGAUCGUUGGGUUAAGUCCCGUAACGAGCGCAACCCUUGUCCUUAGUUACCAGCACGUUAUGGUGGGCACUCUAAGGAGACUGCCGGUGACAAACCGGAGGAAGGUGGGGAUGACGUCAAGUCAUCAUGGCCCUUACGGCCUGGGCUACACACGUGCUACAAUGGUCGGUACAAAGGGUUGCCAAGCCGCGAGGUGGAGCUAAUCCCAUAAAACCGAUCGUAGUCCGGAUCGCAGUCUGCAACUCGACUGCGUGAAGUCGGAAUCGCUAGUAAUCGUGAAUCAGAAUGUCACGGUGAAUACGUUCCCGGGCCUU
RNAcentral lists this ribosomal RNA (503 nucleotides) under uncultured Pseudomonas sp. RNAcentral describes it as "bacterial SSU rRNA". It matches the Rfam family "Bacterial small subunit ribosomal RNA", at positions 903 to 1382 of the family's 1533-position model. The record is from RNAcentral. Lineage: Bacteria; Pseudomonadati; Pseudomonadota; Gammaproteobacteria; Pseudomonadales; Pseudomonadaceae.